GGGAGGCAGCAGUGGGGAAUCUUGCACAAUGGGCGAAAGCCUGAUGCAGCAACGCCGCGUGGGGGAUGAAGCUUCUCGGAGUGUAAACCCCUUUCGACCCGGACGAAUGCCCGCAAGGGUUUGACGGUACGGGUAUAAGAAGCCCCGGCUAACUACGUGCCAGCAGCCGCGGUAAGACGUAGGGGGCCAGCGUUGCUCGGAAUUACUGGGCGUAAAGGGUCCGUAGGCGGUGCGGUAAGUCGGGAGUGAAAUCUCUGGGCUUAACUCAGAGGCUGCUUCCGAAACUACCGUGCUAGAGUGCGAGAGAGGCAAGUGGAAUUGCGGGUGUAGCGGUGAAAUGCGUAGAUAUCCGCAGGAACAUCCGAGGCGAAAGCGGCUUGCUGGAUCGCAACUGACGCUGAGGGACGAAAGCUAGGGGAGCAAACAGGAUUAGAUACCCCGGUAGG
This 446-nucleotide ribosomal RNA is filed under the name uncultured bacterium. RNAcentral's name for it is "bacterial SSU rRNA". It matches the Rfam family "Bacterial small subunit ribosomal RNA", at positions 343 to 794 of the family's 1533-position model. The record is from RNAcentral.